RNAcentral lists this ribosomal RNA (429 nucleotides) under uncultured bacterium. RNAcentral's name for it is "bacterial SSU rRNA". It matches the Rfam family "Bacterial small subunit ribosomal RNA", at positions 355 to 775 of the family's 1533-position model. The record is from RNAcentral.
UGAGGAAUCUUGCGCAAUGGGGGAAACCCUGACGCAGCAACGCCGCGUGAGUGAGGAAGGUCUUCGGAUCGUAAAGCUCUGUCAGUUGGAAAGAAAUGUCUGAGAGUCAAUCCCUUUCAGGCUUGACGGUACCAACAGAGGAAGCACCGGCUAACUCCGUGCCAGCAGCCGCGGUAAUACGGGGGGUGCAAGCGUUGGUCGGAAUUAUUGGGCGUAAAGAGCGUGUAGGCGGCCGGAUAUGUCAGAUGUGAAAGCCCCGGGCUUAACGCGUGAAGUACAUUUGAGACGGAACGGCUCUAGUAGGGGAGAGGGAGGUGAACUUCCUGGAGUAGAGGUAAGAUUCAUAGAUAUCAGGAGGAACACCGGUGGCGAAGGCGACUUCCUGGCCCUAUACUGACGCUGAGAUGCGAGAGAGUGUGUAGCAAACAG